CGCAACCAGACAUUUUGUCGGUUCUUGUGAGGAUCUAAGCGCUAGGGGGCUCUUGAAUGCUUGGUCUGGACCGAGGGUGGAGGAAUCGGGAAGACGCGUGAGUAGGCGUUGUCCCCGCCGCUCGGAGGCGAGACAAAGUUCGGCGGUGGCGACGCCUGCCUUGACCCUGCCGCCGGGGCAGGGCUUGGGACCGCGGUAUCCAGGUCCUCAAUCCGGAUGCCUGCCUCUCCCGGCGCACUCCGCCCACAGACCCCGAUGGCGGCGGCCGCGCUGAGGGAACCCCCUCAGGGUUUAGUGCUCACUUUGGACCCCAGUAUCAAGUGGUGGAAUCCUGUUGGAGACUGGAUCUGAAAUGAGGGGACUGAAGCUUGGAGAAGUGAGGCUUUCUGCAUAAGGUACUAUAAUCAGUAAUGGGGUUACCAGCUGCAAACCCAGGUAAGCCUCCCCCUAGAGCUCAGCCUGUGAAGUCAGACACUGGACACCAUGUGCUAGACUGCAUUGAAUUUGAAGCCAAACACAACAUGAUUGGUUCUAAUGCAAGUUCAAAGAUUGUGAAUUUGAAAGUAAGAUAUAGAAGAAUUAUGCUACAACCCUAUGCUGUACUUAAUCCUGAGGGAAAAAUUUGGGGUUUUUAGAUUAUUUAUUUAUUUAUUUUAUUUUGGCUGCAUCGGGUCUUAGUUGUGGCAUGUGGGAUCUUUCAUUGCGGCGUGUGGGUUUCUCUCUAUUUGU
This is a non-coding RNA of Delphinapterus leucas (beluga whale), 729 nucleotides long. NCBI's taxonomy places the organism in Eukaryota, Metazoa, Chordata, Mammalia, Artiodactyla, Monodontidae. The record is from RefSeq and is a predicted model, not a curated record.